UAGCCGCAGAAUUCUGUGCUAAGGUAGCAUAAUCAUUUGUCUUAUAAUUAAAGACUAGAAUGAAAGGUCAAACGAAUAAAAAAUUUUAAAUAAAGCAAAAAUUAAAAUUAAAUUUAUUGUAAAAAUACAAUAAUAAAACAAAAAGACGACAAGACCCUGUCGAACUUAACACUUGUUAUACUGGGGUAGUAUUUUAAUAAAAAUUUUAACCUAAAUAAUAUAAAACUAUCCUUUAAAGAAAAGAAAAAGUUACCGCAGGGAUAACAGCGCAAUUUAUUUUUAAAGCUCUCAUUAAAAAAUAAGAUUACGACCUCGAUGUUGAAUUAAUAUAUCAAGCAUAAGCAAAAUUAUGCCAGAAAGUCUGUUCGACCUUUAAAUAAUUACAUGAUUUG
RNAcentral lists this ribosomal RNA (392 nucleotides) under Longileptoneta sp. n. 6 HZ-2020. Its description in RNAcentral is "partial large subunit ribosomal RNA". It matches the Rfam family "Bacterial large subunit ribosomal RNA", at positions 1928 to 2607 of the family's 2925-position model. The record is from RNAcentral. Lineage: Eukaryota; Metazoa; Arthropoda; Arachnida; Araneae; Leptonetidae.